UGCUUUUCUGUCAACCCCCGCCCCCCUUCAUCCCCUUGUCUUUCCCAUACAUAAUCGGGAAGUGUACUAGAGAAUCAAAAGGAGCCCUUUUGAUUUUAUUCGUUAAAGCUGCUCACAGCCACUAGAGGGCAGUGUGGGUGCCAGCCUCUCCAGAUUUCCUCUCUUCAGACUGACCCAUCCACACAUCCUGUAACAGGAUGUUUCUGAACUCUUCCUUCAAUUCUCCGUUUAAGUAAACAACUCGGGCUGGAUCCACCCAGACUCACAUCCCGGUAACCCCACGGAUCACGCAGGUCCACAUUCCUGUUCUCAGUGUAGGCUUUUGGUCAAAAGCGGAGAAGCUCAGCUGAGCGAAGCCUGUAAGAUCCAUCAUGGACACAAACAGGAAGACAGAGAGCCAUGAAUGUUUGUCUUGGAAUGAGGCACUAUGGGUAUAAAUUGGGGUCUGCUGAAGCUGUCCCAGGGUCUUGGUGGACCGAGAAAAGCAAAGUUAUAGUAGUCAAGGGGUCCGGGAGCGGCAUUUGUCUUCCAGGUAGCUCAGCUUAGGGCUCACAGAGAUCUUGCACUCCCGUUCAGGAGCAGGAGAAAGCCACCAUCUCACUGCACCGGUGCGUGAGGAACUGCAGGAUCACACAGCUUUAAGAAGGUGGAAAAUCACUGGAAACCGACUCGAAGCUGCAGACCUAGAGGAAAAUGUGACUUGGAGUUGAGGAGGAUGCAAGGCUCACCACAGACAGCUUUCUGGGCCCCGGCUCUGGAGCUGGACUUCUUCAGACACGGACUGAUACCAGGCUUAUCGUUGGUUUCUCAGCAGAGGCAGAUAAGGUGAGGGAAAUAUUUGGAGGCAGAGAUUUCUGGAAUGUCCCCACAGUGCUGAAAUAGCAUCCAGAGUUCAAGAAGGCCAUAUUUGGACAAUGAUAACUAUGUUGUGUUUUUUUUUUCUUCUUUUCUAUCUUCUGUGUUUUCACUGCUUCGUAAUAACAUUUAACCUUUUUUCACACAAGGUCAGUGCUGCUGUCCUAGCACUGUCCCAAAGACCUCCCCACCCGAGGACAGAUCCCAGACCCUCCCAGGGUGGGAAACGUACUGUGUUUCUAAAGGGAAAGUACAAUAGAGGCCAGUGCUUGCUGAAAUCCGUCAGAUCGGGAGUGUAACCCAGCAAAUCAUUCUUGGGAGAAAGAAGAUGAAACAGACAAAGAGUUCCUAGUUCAAUAUUAGAAUAAAUAAAUAAAUAAAUAUUGCACAGAAUUCUUUCUUCCAGGGCCGGGUUAACACUUUCCCUGCAGGCCUAGAGAGAGGGAGUUCUGGAGAAGAAAGAUGGUAGGUAUGUUGCAGGAAGCCACCCCGGAACAGAGCCACCUAGACUACUCCCGAGCCAACAAAGCCUGAAGUAGUGUUGACAAAGGGCGGAGGUGGAUCCAAGAGUCUCCGGUUGCCGCCCUCACCUGCUCGGGACCUCUGAGGCUCUCAGCAAGACACCAACAAGAGCUUUUCUUCCGCAGGCCCUUUAUUUACUAGACAGUGAGCCAGCCCCAGGAAAUCAAGUUGCAAGACCUCUCCUCACCCAGGUCACCUGGACAAAUCCAAGGUCGGGCACACCGGGACAAAUGAAAACAGAACUCCAGGAAGAGAGGGUAAACAGCCCCUGAAGCCCUAGAAGGGACUUGGCUAAAGGGAGUUGUUUCUGGACUGAGAAGCUGGCCUCGGUCUGUGUGCUUCUGAAUGUAUAAUUGAUGUGGCUCAUGUGUUUCCAGUAAAGGAACUUUUGUUUUUCUUUUC
Molecule: non-coding RNA, 1779 nt
Organism: Myodes glareolus (Bank vole)
Lineage: Eukaryota; Metazoa; Chordata; Mammalia; Rodentia; Cricetidae
Source: RefSeq, a predicted model, not a curated record